This 369-nucleotide unclassified non-coding RNA is filed under the name uncultured fungus. RNAcentral describes it as "sequence contains ITS1". The stretch from base 1 to 105 matches the Rfam family "5.8S ribosomal RNA", at positions 50 to 154 of the family's 154-position model. Lineage: Eukaryota; Fungi. The record is from RNAcentral.
GAAAUGCGAUAAGUAGUGUGAAUUGCAGAAUUCAGUGAAUCAUCGAAUCUUUGAACGCACAUUGCGCUCUCUGGUAUUCCGGAGAGCAUGCCCGUUUCAGUAUCAUUAAAAACUCACUGGUCUUCUGGCUUACGUCUGAGGAUUGGUGGACGUUGGAUGGUUUGAGCUUCUGCCCAAACAUCUUAAAAGGAUGGUGCGUGCCCCAGCUCUAUUUGGUUGGGUGUCAAGGUGCAACAGAAAUUUUCUAUUCUCUUUGAACUUCGAACUGAUGAGGUUGGUGGUGUGUACUCCUGGCCUACGGUUGGACUGCUUCUGCUAUCUAACUGGUAACUUGGUCUGAAAUCGGGCAAGAAAACCCGCUGAACUUAA